This 450-nucleotide ribosomal RNA is filed under the name uncultured bacterium. RNAcentral describes it as "partial 16S ribosomal RNA". It matches the Rfam family "Bacterial small subunit ribosomal RNA", at positions 338 to 795 of the family's 1533-position model. The record is from RNAcentral.
CCUACGGGUGGCUGCAGUCGAGAAUCUUUCACAAUGGGGGCAACCCUGAUGGAGCGACGCCGCGUGGAGGAUAAGGUCUUCGGAUUGUAAACUCCUGUCAUGCGAGAACAAGGUUGCAGGGCUAACACCUUUGCAAAUUGAUGGUACCGCAAGAGGAAGAGACGGCUAACUCUGUGCCAGCAGCCGCGGUAAUACAGAGGUCUCAUGCGUUGUUCGGAAGGGUGGGGCGGUGGGGUUGUAUAUCUGGCGUGAAAGCCCGGGGAUCAACCUCGGAAUUGCAUCCGAUACUGCCAUGCUGGAGUACUGAAGAGGUGACUAGAAUUCUAGGUGUAGCAGUGAAAUGCGUAGAUAUCUAGAGGAAUACCAACGGCGAAGGCAGGUCACUGGGCAGUUACUGACACUGAGGCACGAAGGCCAGGGGAGCAAACGGGAUUAGAUACCCCAGUAGUC